GACAAAAAAAAAAAAACAAAACCCGUGCAUGUUGCUUAAACCCUAGAGUUCAACGCUCUCGACUAAUUCAAUUUCGAAGUAGAAAGAUAGAAAAAGAGAAAAACUCAAAAUCGCAUCGAUGUCAGAUAGAGAAGAGAACGAUUCUGACGCCCCUGAGGAAUUCACAGCUGAACAGGGUGUAAAACUAGACGAAGAGAUUCGAAAGAUUCAAAGAGAAAACAAGCUCAGGGUUAAACAUGAGGGUAAAGAACUGCGGAGGAAACGGGCUCAAAACAUGACACGUCAACCAUCCAAAGCUAGUAAAAAAUCUCAAGAUGUAUCAAUCACUGAAUCUCCACAAAAACCAAACACUGCUGCGGGAUUUCUUCCCGAACACAUCGUCCAAAUGCUUGCAGCUCGUGAAAAAAAUGUUUUACUUACUGAGUCUAAUGAGGAGGAAGAUGAAAUAAAGCCUACCACUUCAAAGAAGAGAAAAUCCAAGAAGUCAGGUUUCGAACCUGUUAUUUUGAGCGAACUAGGUCCUCCUCAAUGCUUACACAGUGCCUUAGAUUUCUUGAAAGAAAGGAAAAUGGCAGUUCCGAGAUCCUCUGCUGUAUUGAAGAAUUCCAACCAAGCAUUGCGUCUACUUUCUAGUUCCGGGAUCAUACGCCAGAAAUGAGGAAUUUUUGUUGUGAUAAAUUUAUAGAUUUUUAAGGCCAAGAAGAUGAGGAAAUUGUUUUUUACAGAGAAACACGUGUCAAUGUUGUAUUUCGCUGUGGCUUGGAGUUGUCCACUGCAUCACGAGAAACAAGUGUCAAUGUUGCAUUUCACUCGUAUCAAUGUUGCAUCACAUCAAGGGCUGCUAGCAGUUGUUGCUGUACUUUUUGUGCACUAGACCAGUCUUCGUGCAACGUAGAUGGUAUAAAGAUGCAAUGUGAUGCAUGCCUUAUAUUCUAUAUUUUUUUCAUCAUUUGGUUUCAUUUACUCUAAAGUACGCCUGGUAGGGAAUAAUCUACUAAUUCAUUUAGAAAUUCUCCACUAAA
RNA transcript from Cicer arietinum (chickpea), 1022 nucleotides. RefSeq lists it as uncharacterized. Lineage: Eukaryota; Viridiplantae; Streptophyta; Magnoliopsida; Fabales; Fabaceae. The record is from RefSeq and is a predicted model, not a curated record.